GACGAACGCUGGCGGCGUGCCUAAUACAUGCAAGUCGAACGCAGUGGGGACGGGUGAGUAACACGUGGGUAACCUCCCAUCAGAGGGGAUAACACUUGGAAACAGGUGCUAAACCGAUACUGAUGGAUGGACCCGCGGUGCAUUAGCUAGUAGGUGGGGUAAAGGCUCACCUAGGCGACGAUCUCUAGCUGGUCUGAGAGGAGGAUCGGCCACCCUGGGACUUAGAAACGGCCCAGACUCCUACGGGAGGCAGCAGUAGGGAAUAUUGCACAAUGGACGCAAGCCUGAUCGAGCCAUGCCGCGUGAGUGAAGAAGGCCUUAGGGUUGUAAAGUGCUUUCAGCAGAGAGGCGUUACCCACCGAGGAAGCACCGGCUAACUCCGUGCCAGCCGCCGCGGUAAUAC
RNAcentral lists this ribosomal RNA (403 nucleotides) under uncultured bacterium. Its description in RNAcentral is "partial 16S ribosomal RNA". It matches the Rfam family "Bacterial small subunit ribosomal RNA", at positions 28 to 526 of the family's 1533-position model. The record is from RNAcentral.